GACGAACGCUGGCGGCGUGCCUAAUACAUGCAAGUAGAACGCUGAAGGAGGAGCUUGCUCUUCUGGAUGAGUUGCGAACGGGUGAGUAACGCGUAGGUAACCUGCCUGGUAGCGGGGGAUAACUAUUGGAAACGAUAGCUAAUACCGCAUAAGAGUAGAUGUUGCAUGACAUUUACUUAAAAGGUGCAAUUGCAUCACUACCAGAUGGACCUGCGUUGUAUUAGCUAGUUGGUGGGGUAACGGCUUACCAAGGCGACGAUACAUAGCCGACCUGAGAGGGUGAUCGGCCACACUGGGACGGAGACACGGCCCAGACUCCUACGGGAGGCAGCAGGAGGGAAUCGUCGGCAAUGGACGGAAGUCUGACCGAGCAACGCCGCGGGAGGGAAGAAGGUUGUCGGAUCGUAAAGCUCUGUUGUAAGAGAAGAACGAGUGUGAGAGUGGAAAGUUCACACUGUGACGGUAUCUUACCAGAAAGGGACGGCUAACUACGUG
RNAcentral lists this ribosomal RNA (495 nucleotides) under uncultured bacterium. RNAcentral describes it as "partial 16S ribosomal RNA". It matches the Rfam family "Bacterial small subunit ribosomal RNA", at positions 28 to 507 of the family's 1533-position model. The record is from RNAcentral.